GACGAACGCUGGCGGCGUGCCUAAUACAUGCAAGUUGAGCGCUGAAGGUUGGUACUUGUACCGACUGGAUGAGCAGCGAACGGGUGAGUAACGCGUGGGGAAUCUGCCUUUGAGCGGGGGACAACAUUUGGAAACGAAUGCUAAUACCGCAUAAAAACUUUAAACACAAGUUUUAAGUUUGAAAGAUGCAAUUGCAUCACUCAAAGAUGAUCCCGCGUUGUAUUAGCUAGUUGGUGAGGUAAAGGCUCACCAAGGCGAUGAUACAUAGCCGACCUGAGAGGGUGAUCGGCCACAUUGGGACUGAGACACGGCCCAAACUCCUACGGGAGGCAGCAGUAGGGAAUCUUCGGCAAUGGACGAAAGUCUGACCGAGCAACGCCGCGUGAGUGAAGAAGGUUUUCGGAUCGUAAAACUCUGUUGGUAGAGAAGAACGUUGGUGAGAGUGGAAAGCUCAUCAAGUGACGGUAACUACCCAGAAAGGGACGGCUAACUACGUGCCAGCCGCCGCCGUAA
Molecule: ribosomal RNA, 513 nt
Filed under: uncultured bacterium
Lineage: Bacteria
Description: partial 16S ribosomal RNA
Rfam family: Bacterial small subunit ribosomal RNA
Source: RNAcentral